GACGAACGCUGGCGGCGUGCUUAACACAUGCAAGUCGAACGGUGAAGCGCCUUCCUUUUUGGUGGGUGUGGAUGAGUGGCGAACGGGUGAGUAACACGUGAGUAACCUGCCCCCUUCUUCUGGAUAACCGCAUGAAAGUGUGGCUAAUACGGGAUAUUCUGGGUCUGUCGCAUGAUGGGUCUGGGAAAGAUAUUGUUUCGGUGGGGGAUGGGCUCGCGGCCUAUCAGCUUGUUGGUGGGGUGAUGGCCUACCAAGGCGGUGACGGGUAGCCGGCCUGAGAGGGUGGACGGUCACACUGGGACUGAGACACGGCCCAGACUCCUACGGGAGGCAGCAGUGGGGAAUAUUGCACAAUGGGCGCAAGCCUGAUGCAGCGACGCCGCGUGAGGGAUGGAGGCCUUCGGGUUGUGAACCUCUUUCGCCAGUGAAGCAGGCCUGCCUCGUUUGUGGGUGGGUUGACGGUAGCUGGAUAAGAAGCGCCGGCUAACUACGG
This 493-nucleotide ribosomal RNA is filed under the name uncultured bacterium. RNAcentral's name for it is "partial 16S ribosomal RNA". It matches the Rfam family "Bacterial small subunit ribosomal RNA", at positions 28 to 506 of the family's 1533-position model. The record is from RNAcentral.